AUCAAUUGGUGUUUUAAGGGGAACCAGGUCACAAUCACACCGUUUCAGAACCGAUUCAGUUCCCAACUGAUUCCUAUCCAAAUUGGCCAUCAUGUUAAAAAAAUCACUAGAGUUUGGAACAUUGGAUGCAACCAAAAAAAACGAAAUAAAUUUUGGAAAAUUGUUUGACGUGUCCAAGCUCGCAAUUGUUACAAUGCGGGUUUGGAGAUCUACACCGUCCACCAAAUCCGAGUCCCAUAAAUAAUAAUUCCCUAAAGUAAAACUAAACUUCAACGGUUCAAAUUUUUUUUUACAAAAAGUCUCUCCACCUUGCAUUCUGCCUUUAAGAAAACCUUUAUCUUUCUCUAGAGAGAAACCUCCAUUCUAUCUCUAAUCAAACACAACAUUUUCCUCCUUACAGGGAAACCUACAUGCCCUCUCUAACCAGGCAACUGCAGUCUCUUUCUCUCCACCCAAAAACCCAUUUCCAUGUCACUUUCACAAAAAACUUACUCUCUCACACAUAUCAUGGAAUAUCUGCAUAAUCUCUAGAAACAAAUAAGACCGGCAUUUACAUUAAACCUCAGAUUCAAAAGACAUUAGGAUAACAAAAAUACACAAAGGCAUAAUUAAGUAGCAGGUGCACAAUCGUAAUCAUCGUCAUCGUCAUCGUCGUCUCCUUCGGUUCGGAGGAUUUUCUUCUGAUGCCAUUUCUGGCAACCCAAGUGAGCAUCAUGCCUAUCCAACAUCUUUCUGGUUUGGGUACAAGAAAAUGGAAACUAAACCAGGGAAUAUAGAAGUAAGUAAAUAUGGAGAUUUCUUGUACUUCCUAAUUGAGUAUUGAGAAAAUGAAUUUGCAUGAAAUGAAA
RNAcentral lists this long non-coding RNA (848 nucleotides) under Amborella trichopoda. RNAcentral describes it as "long non-coding RNA (ATRI_LNC003093)". Lineage: Eukaryota; Viridiplantae; Streptophyta; Magnoliopsida; Amborellales; Amborellaceae. The record is from RNAcentral.